This 496-nucleotide ribosomal RNA is filed under the name uncultured bacterium. Its description in RNAcentral is "partial 16S ribosomal RNA". It matches the Rfam family "Bacterial small subunit ribosomal RNA", at positions 29 to 507 of the family's 1533-position model. The record is from RNAcentral.
AUGAACGCUGGCGGCGUGCCUAAUACAUGCCAGUCGAGCGAACAGACGAGGAGCUUGCUCCUCUGACGUUAGCGGCGGACGGGUGAGUAACACGUGGAUAACCUACCUAUAAGACUGGGAUAACUUCGGGAAACCGGAGCUAAUACCGGAUAAUAUAUUGAACCGCAUGGUUCCAUAGUGAAAGACGGUUUUGCUGUCACUUAUAGAUGGAUCCGCGCCGCAUUAGCUAGUUGGUAAGGUAACGGCUUACCAAGGCGACGAUGCGUAGCCGACCUGAGAGGGUGAUCGGCCACACUGGAACUGAGACACGGUCCAGACUCCUACGGGAGGCAGCAGUAGGGAAUCUUCCGCAAUGGGCGAAAGCCUGACGGAGCAACGCCGCGUGAGUGAUGAAGGUCUUCGGAUCGUAAAACUCUGUUAUUAGGGAAGAACAAAUGUGUAAGUAACUAUGCACGUCUUGACGGUACCUAAUCAGAAAGCCACGGCUAACUACGUG